CCCAACGGAGAAUCUCUUGGAAAUUGGUUUGGAGAUGGAAGUGAUAAUACUUCACGAGGUCAAUUUGAUGAAGAAAAUAAAUUUAACAAUUUCACCAAUAAUCGUUAUAUGCCACCGAAGACUUCUCACGCGUGGGGCAUUUUUUUUACAGUAUUAGGAACUGUCCUUCUCGAUUUUGACGCAGAUGCUUGCCAAAGUCCUGCUAGAGCUUAUCUCUUAGACGUAUGUCUACCAGAAGAUCAUGCAAAGGGUUUAUCAACAUUCACCAUUAUGGCAGGCUUGGGUGGAUUUUUUGGAUAUUCAAUGGGUGGCUUGAACUGGGAUGAAACUGAUAUUGGUCGGCGAUUGGGUGGACACGUCAAGGCCGUUUUCUCUAUAAUAACAUUUAUUUUCAUUGGCUGUGUCGCUUUCACAGUUACAAGCUUUGCUGAAAUUCCUCUUUGGGUACUAGCAGACGCGGAAUCUCUUUAUGAUAAAGGAGAAAAUGAAAAAUUGCGAGCCCCAAAAGAAGCAUAUGGUGCCUGCGCAAUAGAAGAGGAAAGAGGUAAAGCAUUCGAGGAACUUGACCAGGUGACUGGAAGGCCAUCCCUCGGCAACAUAAAUAAUGAAACCAGUUUUAUUGAAAAUGCAGACGUCAUGCAAGAAAACUCAGAAGGAGGAAAUGAUGACUUAAUUCAUACCCAUAAUUUUAUGGAAGUAGAGUCGUUGCAACACUAUUUGCUAUCUAUUGUACACAUGCCAUUUUCUUUGAGAAUGAUUUGCCUGACAAACCUUUUCUGCUGGAUGGCACAUGUAUGUUAUUCGCUUUAUUUUACCGAUUUCGUGGGAGAGGCCGUAUUCAAAGGAGACCCAAAGGCAUCGCAAGGAUCUGUACUUCAAAUUCGUUACGAAGAAGGGGUUCGAUUUGGAUGUUGGGGAAUGGCAAUGUAUUCUCUCUCAUGUUCAUUUUACUCACUUAUAAUAGAACACCUCA
This is a non-coding RNA of Drosophila kikkawai, 973 nucleotides long. Lineage: Eukaryota; Metazoa; Arthropoda; Insecta; Diptera; Drosophilidae. The record is from RefSeq and is a predicted model, not a curated record.